AGCGAACGCUGGCGGCAGGCCUAACACAUGCAAGUCGAACGAACCUUUCGGGGUUAGUGGCGGACGGGUGGGUAACACGUGGGAACGUGCCUUUAGGUUCGGAAUAACUCAGGGAAACUUGUGCUAAUACCGAAUGUGCCCUUCGGGGGAAAGAUUUAUCGCCUUUAGAGCGGCCCGCGUCUGAUUAGCUAGUUGGUUGAGGUAAUGGCUCACCAAGGCGACGAUCAGUAGCUGGUCUGAGAGGAUGAUCAGCCACAUUGGGACUGAGACACGGCCCAAACUCCUACGGGAGGCAGCAGUGGGGAAUCUUGCGCAAUGGGCGAAAGCCUGACGCAGCCAUGCCGCGUGAAUGAUGAAGGUCUGAGGAUUGUAAAAUUCUUUCACCGGGGACGAUAAUGACGGUACCCGGAGAAGAAGCCCCGGCUAACUUCGUG
Molecule: ribosomal RNA, 434 nt
Filed under: uncultured bacterium
Lineage: Bacteria
Description: partial 16S ribosomal RNA
Rfam family: Bacterial small subunit ribosomal RNA
Source: RNAcentral